This 240-nucleotide ribosomal RNA is filed under the name Anaplasma phagocytophilum. RNAcentral's name for it is "partial 16S ribosomal RNA". It matches the Rfam family "Bacterial small subunit ribosomal RNA", at positions 197 to 439 of the family's 1533-position model. The record is from RNAcentral. Lineage: Bacteria; Pseudomonadati; Pseudomonadota; Alphaproteobacteria; Rickettsiales; Anaplasmataceae.
CGGGGGAAAGAUUUAUCGCUACAUGAUGAGCUUAUGUUAGAUUAGCUAGUUGGUGGGGUAAAGGCCUACCAAGGCAGUGAUCUAUAGCUGGUCUGAGAGGAUGAUCAGCCACACUGGAACUGAGACACGGUCCAGACUCCUACGGGAGGCAGCAGUGGGGAAUAUUGGACAAUGGGCGAAAGCCUGAUCCAGCUAUGCCGCGUGAGUGAGGAAGGCCUUAGGGUUGUAAAACUCUUUCAG